UGGUUCUGGCAUNGAUGAAGAACGCAGCGAAAUGCGAUAAGUAAUGUGAAUUGCAGAAUUCAGUGAAUCAUCGAAUCUUUGAACGCACAUUGCGCCCCUUGGUAUUCCGGGGGGCAUGCCUGUUCGAGCGUCAUUUCAACCCUCAAGCAUAGCUUGGUCUUGGGCACUGCCGGUAACGGCUUGCCUUAAAACUAGUGGCGGUGCCAUUCGAGCUUUACGCGUAGUAAAUUACCCUCGCGAUUGAGUCUUGAUGGAUGCUGGCCAGCAACCCUUAAUUUUUUUUGGUUGACCUCGGAUCAGGUAGGGAUACCCGCUGA
RNAcentral lists this unclassified non-coding RNA (317 nucleotides) under uncultured fungus. Its description in RNAcentral is "partial contains 5.8S ribosomal RNA and internal transcribed spacer 2". The stretch from base 1 to 133 matches the Rfam family "5.8S ribosomal RNA", at positions 22 to 154 of the family's 154-position model. Lineage: Eukaryota; Fungi. The record is from RNAcentral.